Pongo abelii (Sumatran orangutan) is the source of this 148-nucleotide unclassified non-coding RNA. It matches the Rfam family "Metazoan signal recognition particle RNA". Rfam says of the family: The signal recognition particle (SRP) is a universally conserved ribonucleoprotein. It is involved in the co-translational targeting of proteins to membranes. Lineage: Eukaryota; Metazoa; Chordata; Mammalia; Primates; Hominidae. The record is from Ensembl.
GCCAGGCAUGGUGGUGCAUGCCUGUAAUCCCAGCUACCUGUGAGGCUGAGGCAGGAGAAUCGCUUGAACCCAGGAGGCAGAGGCUGCAGUGAGCCGAGAUCACACCACUGCACUCCAGCCUGGGUGACAGAGCGAGACUCCGUCUCAA